This is a long non-coding RNA of Rhagoletis pomonella (apple maggot), 525 nucleotides long. RefSeq lists it as uncharacterized. The record is from RefSeq and is a predicted model, not a curated record. NCBI's taxonomy places the organism in Eukaryota, Metazoa, Arthropoda, Insecta, Diptera, Tephritidae. The transcript has 2 exons.
ACACCAACUAGUGCAAACCAACCUGAUGUAUUGGUGUGUGUCGCGUCAGUCUCAGCAAAAUAGUCUUGCAUCAACAACCAGAGCUCAGUACGUCAUAGUUAUUUUUCUUCUCUGUUUUUGGAAGCUAGUGCAAUGAGUAUAUUAUAUACAUAUAUUUGCAGUAUAUUAUAUUUUCAUUGAUCCACUUAGUUAAGUUUAACUAUAACGAAGCAAAAUGAUGUGUAAAACCAAGUAAUUGCUUUUAAAUCUAAGUAAAAAAUAUACAAUUUAAAUGAUAAUUAUUAAAAAGAUACAUGCAUGCAUAUAUACGUUAAGAACAUAAAUAUAUAUAGGAUAUAAAAUUUUAAUCUCUUUGUCAACUUAAUUGCGGCCCUGAAAAGGGCCUCUUGUUGAUUGGUAUAUAUGUAUUUAUCUAAGCAUACAAUUUUAAUCUCUUUGUUAAUUAAUUGGCGGCCCUGAAAAGGGCCUUUGGAUAAAUCAUAUUACUUGCCUGCAAAUAAAUAAGUUUAUAUUUGUAUAAAAGAC